UCCCUGGUGGCUCAGAGGUUAAAGCGUCUGCCUCCAAUGCAGGAGACCUGGGUUUGAUUCCUGGGUCGGGAA
This 72-nucleotide transfer RNA is filed under the name Ovis aries (sheep). It matches the Rfam family "tRNA". From Rfam's summary of the family: Transfer RNA (tRNA) molecules are approximately 80 nucleotides in length. The record is from Rfam by way of RNAcentral. Lineage: Eukaryota; Metazoa; Chordata; Mammalia; Artiodactyla; Bovidae.